Molecule: transfer RNA, 22 nt
Filed under: Stenella attenuata (bridled dolphin)
Lineage: Eukaryota; Metazoa; Chordata; Mammalia; Artiodactyla; Delphinidae
Description: partial tRNA-Thr
Source: RNAcentral
AAUCCCAUUCCUCCCUAAGACU